This 365-nucleotide unclassified non-coding RNA is filed under the name Hevea brasiliensis (rubber tree). The record is from RNAcentral. Lineage: Eukaryota; Viridiplantae; Streptophyta; Magnoliopsida; Malpighiales; Euphorbiaceae.
GUGUGUGUGUGUGUGUGUGUGUACUUCUAACAUAUUAACAAAUUAAACAAUAAAUUAAAUAACUAAUUAACAAGAAUGUCAAGUUAAAGUAAUAAGAAUAAUAACAAAUUAACAAUACCUAUAAAAGUUAAACAACUAAUUAACAAGAAUAUCAAAUUAAAUUAACAAAAAUAAGAACAAAUUAACAAAGUGAAAGUAAACAAAUUAACAACACCCAUAUAAAUUAAACAACUAAUCAAUAAGAAUAUCAAGUUAAAGUAACAAGAAUAAUAACAAAUUAAUAAAUUAACAAAGUUAAAGUAAAAAAAAUUAACAAAUUAACAUUACCUGUAUAAUUUAAACAACUAAUUAACAAAUUAACAACA